This 494-nucleotide ribosomal RNA is filed under the name uncultured bacterium. RNAcentral's name for it is "partial 16S ribosomal RNA". It matches the Rfam family "Bacterial small subunit ribosomal RNA", at positions 28 to 507 of the family's 1533-position model. The record is from RNAcentral.
GACGAACGCUGGCGGCGUGCUUAACACAUGCAAGUCGAACGGUGAAGCGCCUUCCUUUUUGGUGGGUGUGGAUGAGUGGCGAACGGGUGAGUAACACGUGAGUAACCUGCCCCCUUCUUCUGGAUAACCGCAUGAAAGUGUGGCUAAUACGGGAUAUUCUGGGUCUGUCGCAUGAUGGGUCUGGGAAAGAUAUUGUUUCGGUGGGGGAUGGGCUCGCGGCCUAUCAGCUUGUUGGUGGGGUGAUGGCCUACCAAGGCGGUGACGGGUAGCCGGCCUGAGAGGGUGGACGGUCACACUGGGACUGAGACGCGGCCCAGACUCCUACGGGAGGCAGCAGUGGGGAAUAUUGCACAAUGGGCGCAAGGCUGAUGCAGCGACGCCGCGUGAGGGAUGGAGGCCUUCGGGUUGUGAACCUCUUUCGCCAGUGAAGCAGGCCUGCCUCGUUUGUGGGUGGGUUGACGGUAGCUGGAGAAGAAGCGCCGGCUAACUACGUG